Molecule: long non-coding RNA, 239 nt
Filed under: Phaseolus vulgaris (common bean)
Lineage: Eukaryota; Viridiplantae; Streptophyta; Magnoliopsida; Fabales; Fabaceae
Description: long non-coding RNA (PVUL_LNC005134)
Source: RNAcentral
CUUUUCUAAUGUGAUUUUGUUUACUUUUAUCAUUUUUUGAGAUCAUGUCUCUGUGCAGUUCUGAACUCCAACCCCUGUGAACAAAUAAAGGUUUUGGUUCAAAAUUGAUGGCUUGAUUAUUUUCUUGCAUGAAAAGAAUUUGAUAAUGAAUAUAAACCUAGCUAUUAAGUUUAAUAAGAUAAUAUUAAACUUCCACAUGUAAAAACUAAAAUUUUCUGCACAACAUUGUUGGUUGAUAC